This is a non-coding RNA of Periconia macrospinosa, 89 nucleotides long. NCBI's taxonomy places the organism in Eukaryota, Fungi, Ascomycota, Dothideomycetes, Pleosporales, Periconiaceae. The record is from the annotation of a GenBank genome assembly.
GGUCGCGUAACUCAGUUGGUUAGAGUGUGGUGCUAAUAUCAUCCUGAUACGAUACGCCAAAGUCGAGAGUUCGAGCCUCUCCGUGACCU